Molecule: long non-coding RNA, 1364 nt
Organism: Equus quagga
Lineage: Eukaryota; Metazoa; Chordata; Mammalia; Perissodactyla; Equidae
Exons: 3
Source: RefSeq, a predicted model, not a curated record
GUCCAGCAGGUGAAGCCCAGCACCAGUGUGGGGACUACUGUCUGCUUGCUCUCUUUUUGCUUCUUCUCUCCAGGAAUAAGGCUGAAGGCAGAGAGAAAGCCACUCAGGAUUUCCCACUUCCAGAAGUUCUGGAGACUAGAAGUCCAAAAUCAAGGAGUCAGCAGAGCCAUGCUUCCUCUGAAACCAACAGGGCCAACUCUAUGGAUUUCUCCAGCCUCCAGAUACCUGAAAUUCUACAAUUAGAAAUUAAUUCAUUUGAUGUCAGCUCACAGUUAUAUGGGAAAGGAUACAUAGUAAUAUUUCUCAGCCAACCACCUUAGCAUGAGUGAAUUUAUGACCUUUUCUGAGAGUUAGUUUUGAAAGACGAGAAUAGGGAAGAAGCAUGAAUGCACUAAGCCUGGAUUAAAGGGAAGCCACACCAGGUCAUCACCCUAGAAAAACUCUUGCACAUGUGCACCAGGAUUUACGUGCAAGAAUGUUCUUGGCAGCACAGUUCAUAACAGACUCAAACUGGAAACAACCCUAUCCACCAAGAAUAGAAUGGAAAAAUGCAUUGUAGUGUAUUCAUACAGUGGAAUACAACACAGUGAUGAAAAUGAGUGACCUGCGGCUACACCAGAGACUUGUUUGAAUUUCAUAAAAUUAUGUUAGAGAAAUAAUGUGGACACAGAAGAAUGUAUUCAAUAGGAAUCCAUACAUGUAACGUUCAAAUAUAGGUGGUACAAUUAUAAAGAAUAAGAAGGAAAUUAAUGUCAGAAACAUCAGGAUAAGAGUAGUUAAUUCUAGUGGGGAGGGGAGGUUGUGUUCACUCAGGGGACACACAGGGGGCUUCUUGGAGGCUAAUAAUUGCAAUUUCUUGACCUGGGUGUUGGUUACACAGAGGGUUGCUUUGCAAUUAUUUGUUAAACUGUCCAAAUGUGUUCUAUACAUUUUUAUAUGUGUGCGUUUCAUCUCAUCUUUCCAAAAAUUAAAAGGAAGGACAGGCAGGUAAGCCAGGCCCCCAAACCCAACCUCAUUUCUUUGCAUAGCUAAUCCAGACCAGGUUCUAGGAGACCUGCAGGAGAAGUGGUCAGGGUUGGAACAGGUGGUGCAAAGCUCUGUACAUAGCAUCUGUGGAUAUUCAACCACGUUAGAUCCCGCCAAACUGUUUCCCAAAGGUAUUGAAUCAACUUGCUCUCUCACCAGCAGUGAAUAAGAAUUCUUCUUGUUUUGCAUCUUCACUAUCAUUUGAUGCUGUCAGAUUUUAAAUUCUGCUUCUUUUGUGAGAUAUUUAAAGGCAUCUCCUUAAGUUACAUUAUUCUAGUAAUUAACGAAGUUGAGCAUCUUUUUCAUAUAUUUUUUGUCUUUUGUGAAAUGCCUGUUCA